GAUUGACGCUGGCGGCAUGCUUUACACAUGCAAGUCGAACGGUAACAGGCCGCAAGGUGCUGACGAGUGGCGAACGGGUGAGUAAUGCAUCGGAACGUGCCCAGUCGUGGGGGAUAACUGCUCGAAAGAGCAGCUAAUACCGCAUACGAUCUAUGGAUGAAAGCGGGGGACCGUAAGGCCUCGCGCGAUUGGAGCGGCCGAUGUCAGAUUAGGUAGUUGGUGGGGUAAAGGCUCACCAAGCCAACGAUCUGUAGCUGGUCUGAGAGGACGACCAGCCACACUGGGAGUGAGACACGGCCCAGACUCCUACGGGAGGCAGCAGUGGGGAAUUUUGGACAAUGGGGGCAACCCUGAUCCAGCAAUGCCGCGUGCAGGAAGAAGGCCUUCGGGUUGUAAACUGCUUUUGUACGGAACGAAACGGUCUGGGUUAAUACCCUGGGCUAAUGACGGUACCGUAAGAAUAAGCACCGGCUAACUACGUGCCAGCAGCCGCGGUAAUACGUAGGGUGCGAGCGUUAAUCGGAAUUACUGGGCGUAAAGCGUGCGCAGGCGGUUUUGUAAGACAGGCGUGAAAUCCCCGGGCUCAACCUGGAAAUGGCGCUUGUGACUGCAAAGCUGGAGUGCGGCAGAGGGGGAUGGAAUUCCGCGUGUAGCAGUGAAAUGCGUAGAUAUGCGGAGGAACACCGAUGGCGAAGGCAAUCCCCUGGGCCUGCACUGACGCUCAUGCACGAAAGCGUGGGGGAGCAAACAGGAUUAGAUACCCUGGUAGUCCACGCCCUAAACGAUGUCAACUGGUUGUUGGGUCUUUGCUGACUCAGUAACGAAGCUAACGCGUGAAGUUGACCGCCUGGGGAGUACGGCCGCAAGGUUGAAACUCAAAGGAAUUGACGGGGACCCGCACAAGCGGUGGAUGAUGUGGUUUAAUUCGAUGCAACGCGAAAAACCUUACCCACCUUUGACAUGUACGGAAGUUGCCAGAGAUGGCUUCGUGCUCGAAAGAGAGCCGUAACACAGGUGCUGCAUGGCUGUCGUCACCUCGUGUCGUGAGAUGUUGGGUUACCUCCCGCAACGAGCGCAACCCUUGCCAUUAGUUGCUACGAAAGGGCACUCUAAUGGGACUGCCGGUGACAAACCGGAGGAAGGUGGGGAUGACGUCAAGUCCUCAUGGCCCUUAUAGGUGGGGCUACACACGUCAUACAAUGGCCGGUACAAAGGGCAGCCAACCCGCGAGGGGGAGCCAAUCCCAUAAAGCCGGUCGUAGUCCGGAUCGCAGUCUGCAACUCGACUGCGUGAAGUCGGAAUCGCUAGUAAUCGUGGAUCAGCAUGUCACGGUGAAUACGUUCCCGGGUCU
RNAcentral lists this ribosomal RNA (1351 nucleotides) under uncultured bacterium. Its description in RNAcentral is "bacterial SSU rRNA". It matches the Rfam family "Bacterial small subunit ribosomal RNA", at positions 27 to 1381 of the family's 1533-position model. The record is from RNAcentral.